This is a long non-coding RNA of Lagopus muta (rock ptarmigan), 9473 nucleotides long. RefSeq lists it as uncharacterized. Lineage: Eukaryota; Metazoa; Chordata; Aves; Galliformes; Phasianidae. The record is from RefSeq and is a predicted model, not a curated record. The transcript has 5 exons.
UCAAAGGGAGUUACAUGUUUGUCUUGUCUGUGAACUUGAUCUACUGUUUUUAUAACAGAGCCUAAAGCAUUAUUUACAGUUUGUCAAGACAACUCAUCCUUGCUAGUUGCUUACUGAAAACAAAACUGAAUACAUAUAUUCUAUUACUUACCAUCUUAUCCAACACCUUAAAAGAACCAUAAGAAAAAUGGAAAAGAAACAAAUAUGAACACUAAUCAGUUGACCCAAACCAGAUUAAAAAAUGUUAGCUUCAUUUGCAUCUGAAUUAUACUUUUCAUCCACUUUGUUAGUAGUCUCCCUUCCCUCUUUAGUGGGGAAAAAAAAAAAAUCAGAAGAUGAUGAUGAUGAUGAUUAUUAUUAUUAUUAUUAACUUGCACAAAUUAUCUGUUUUCAGGAGCUAGCUCUGGUUUUAGAUAUUCUUGCUAUAAAAAUAAAACUCUCUACUGGUGAUGCAUGAAACAUACCUAGCAACAGAAGAUAUUAAGAUCAUCCAUCAGCAGCUGUACAGUAAUCAAAAAGGUUUCAUCACUUUCUUUCUGUUGGUUGGCUUUCCUAAAGGCCAAAUACAACCUAUCUUGAUAUUCAUAUCUCAGAGGAACUUCAGGUCAUUAAACACAUCUCUGUACAUUAUGAUUCAUGUGAGAAAAUGUUGACAUUUGCACUGGGAGGAAUAGCACUAGUUAAAGUGCUUUGAUUUCAUUCCUAGUAUAUAUUCUACCAAAAAAAAAAGGCAUUUUUAAUUUUUUUUUUUCUCUCAAACUCUUUGUGAUAUUAAAGUUCUUUGUUUCAGCAGCAAUCAUAGAUCUACUAUUGAUUAACUGUAUAGUAGGGAAGAGAAGUACUACAUUAUUAGUACGCCUCUGGCAGAUAACCAAAUAUAACUAUUAUUUUGAUGUCUGCUAAAAGAACUGUAGGAGAGAAAGCAUAUGUAGGUGUAUAGUUAUGUACCCUUAAAAUGAAAGCUUUCUCAUGAAACAAAAUGAUGAAUUUAAACCAUUACAAAGUUUCAAAUUUAAUCUCACUAAUAAAAAACGUAUCCAUUUUUUCUUUACAUUUAGUUCUUUUCUUUCUAUAGUUCAGAACUAAAAAAUCAACACUGUUCACUAUCACAUUCUUUUCUCUGUAGUAGUUUAUAAGACCAAUAACUAAAGAUACAGUAGAUCAAAGUAUUUGCUUUGAUUAUCUUUGUUCCUGUGAUUGCUUAUGUUCCACCCAGCUAAUUACACCUUUCUGCUUUCCAGAUUUAUACAAUAAUUGCUGGUGAGUGCUUUUUAGAAGGAUGCCUGCCAGGAGGACCGAAGAAAUGUGAAACAGACAUGCUAAGUCACGGCCUGAAACAGUGAUUGUACUCCUGGUGGGAAGGCAGGGCCAACCCAGGUGAUUUCAUGCAAUGCAAUGCACCUGUGUGACCAGAAGAGGUGGAGCCAGGAUCCACCCCUUCCCAGACCUCAUUUAAGGGUUGGCAGUGGAGGCAGAGGAUAUCUCUCUGGAGAUGUCUGCAUAUCUGAGUAUUUCUUCCUCUGUUUUUGUACCUACAGCUGCUUCAUUUGGGCGUUAAACUCAAGAAGCAUAUUCUUCAUAGUGUAUUGUUUGUUUUAUCUGUUAAUUAAGUCCACUGAUCAAUCAAGGAAGUUGUACAUGAACUAUGGACUGCUUUGCAUACAUAACUAAGGGCAAUUGAUUUCAUCAGAAGUAUGACUAUAGUUCUAAGUGCAGUGAUCAUCACAAAGGAAUAAUGUGAGAUCAAUAAACAUGGAAAUCUGAAGAGAUGGCAGACAGAAAUUGGCACUGAAGCAAAUGCUGAGCACAGUGAUGAAGUCAAAGCACAAGAAUGUUAAUACAUGGGAUCUAGAUAAGGAAAGAAGAGAUGAGAAUGACUAAAGAUCUGGAAAGCCUGUAUUGCAAGAUGUCUUUUUAACUCUGUAUUCAAUAAGCAGAAGCUUAAUAGUUUUCUUGAUCAUGGUCCUUACUGAUAUACAAAGGGAAAAUUCUUUUCUUUGUUUAAGAAAUUGCAGGAUCUCAAAGCUGAAAGCUGCCAUUUGGAAAACACAGGCCAGAAAGUAGCUGAAGUAGUUGUUCUAUUGUAGCAGUGAGGAUAUUAAAACACUAGACAUUUGUCUGUACCUGCUCCCCAAAAGUGUUGGGUCUCUUUCUUCUAGCAUUUCAGUUGGAGUACUCUUAAAUCUGAAUUCAGAUUAUACUAUUGCACCAGUCAGUAUCACUUUUUCCAGCCUGAGACCUGAGCAUAUCCACUGUGGCAUGAAGAAGAUGCUGAAUUCAAAUUGAUCAUGCUUUGAGAUGGUGCUGUAUCCAUGAUCUGAAGACCAAGACAACAGGAGAAGAGGAGCAAGAGGGGUCUCUCCAAUGUAUCAAAUUGUAAAUGGCUAACUCAACUGACCUAGGGUGUAUUUGAAGCAGUGAAUUCUCUAAGGAAAAAAUGAAGCUCAGUAAAACGGUUGUCUCUUUCUAUAGUACAAUACUGAGCAUUUAUUUUGCCAAGAUUCUUAUGUUCUGGUUUGGUUCUGGUUCACCAGUUGUCCACUUUACUCAUUGAGCUCAAGACUGAACUCUCUUUUAAUUGGAAUAGCUAGUUUUAUCUGAGACAAAACUCAGAGCUCUCAGAGUGGCCAGGGAGGAGGGCAAAAUUCCUGAGGCGGUGCGUGUUAUGAUGGGGUUGGAAUCUACUAACACUGGGAGAAAUGGUACGGGGAGCGUACUUUCUUGCAGGUCCCCUGAGGAAGAGAGCACCGCAAAUAUGCCCUCAACUACGGCGCCUAACACCUCAUCUGCAUCUUCGGCUCCCCCCUCGGCUCCAGCUUCAGACAAACAAGUAGAAGGCGGCACUCAACUGUCUACACUUUUAUCUUGCAAAAUUGCCCGAGUGCAGGAAUCCAAGGUCGUUGAAAUACGGAUACAGGGAUACGGUCCCCCCGCCAUAUCCACGGAAACCGUUGUAUCCUUCUCUGUGUAAUCUACCACCACCUGCGGGGACAGGGGGAGAAGUGAGCUGGGGAAGAAGGGGUGGGAUGCUAGCCUCCUCUCUAGAGGUGGAAAACAAGCGCGGUAACACCCAGGGGGGUGGGGUCUGUGGAAAAGGCUUGGGUACAGAUUGGUCAAAAGUUAGGGAGGUGGUAGGAAAGGAAAGGGAAGCGAUGCAACUUACAGGUGCUCGGGUGAUAGCGUCCAGCCAGCACCAUCCACCCUGAUUGUUCCUGAAAGAGAACAUCUGGCCAGCACCGUCUGCUCAGGUUGCACCCAAUGGAGAAAUACAAAAUGAUGAUCGUUGCUGGACCCACUCCCUACCACUGUAUCAGGACCCAUUGACUUGACCUACAUAUCCUUUUAAAAGAUUGAGUGCGCAUGCAACCAAUUGGAAGCCUCUACAACAGUCAGUGCUUGAUCAAAGGGAGACAGGCAGAGGGGGAGGGAUGUGGAGCCUGCAGCUUCCUGUUGCGACUGAAAAGGGUAGCAAAAGAAGGAGAAAGGUGAAUUUGCAUUUAGGAGUUAAGAGGGAUGCACGAACAGAUUGUGGGAAGUUUAGAUGUGGCCUGAUAGAGGAAGGAAGAGUACUGGAGACCUUCCUGAUAGUAGGGAAUGAUAACGGAGGCCCAGAAUGGGCCUAUAUGCCUAUACGCAUCUGCAUUGUACUUAAUCCACUGCAGUAUACAUUGUGGGCAUCAGAAUGGGUUCCCUUCAGGGACAGGUGGCCAGAUGGAGGCCUGGAAAACAAGCAACAAGGAUUUGUUUGUGAGAGCAAUACUCUGAAAGCUCGAGACAUCUGCCUUGAUAUUGAACAAAUGUUUGUCAUUUUCAGGUACACUCCAGUGAGGUACCUGAGACAAUGUUGGUGUAUAUUGGGAAGGGAUUUGUUUGUAUAAGGAUCCUUUGUAAUUUCAUAUUCGUAGACAGUGCCAGUAGACCUAUCAGCAAUCACUCUAUUGUCUAAUCUCUCUGUCUAUAACUUUACCAGGAUGUGGCUUUCAUUCUUCAGUGUUGGUGACAUCACAACAGUUAUUCCAGGCUAAUUAUAUGCUGAUUAAAGACCUAUCACCAGCUGCAAUUGGAAUGAAUCUUGCUUUGGUAAGGAAGCUGUUGGAACAUGAGAUAACUUGCAUCAGAGGCAGUGGACAGAAAACAUUCAUCAUGGUUGACCAUGGCAAAAGUGAGAUGCAUCACGUCCGAGAGAGAGAGUAAAGAAGGAAGGAGAACACAACUGGUGGGACCUGGAUGGUACACCAAAGAAACAGGGAUGUUUAACUCUACUGCAUUUAGUUGUAGUUCAGUUAUAAUUGUAUUAGGUCUAAUAUUAACACUGGUAAAGCUGGGCAUAUGGGCAACGAACUUUAUGUAGAUCGCACAUUUAGGACAUUGGGAUCAUUUAGGCAAUAGGUUAAUUGGUUAGAGUAGGAUUAUUUGGCAGAUUGCCAUGUAAUGGGUAUGUUUUAUUGAGCUUGGAGCGGGGCAAUUGCAGCAGGUGACUGUGUGACACCCCUCGGUGUGUGACGCAGCAGGACCUCCCAAGCUGUUUGAUUGAUGUGUAGCACAUGCUUUUGGGGCAUAGACAAUGCACUUAGGGUUUAUAAGCUAGAGUUCACGUGUAAUAAACUUCAUUUUGCUGUUCAUCAUAUUGGUGUAUACGUGCAGUUAUUUGGUCCUGACCUGGUUAGGGUUAGUAGCGUAGUAGGCAAUGCAACAGGCAUGGGCACGAGUUUAUAUAGAUGUGGCACCCGAAGCUGCUAAACAAUGUGCUUGUCAAUGAGCUGUUUCCUGUGUGUGUCUUGGGGGUGGGGAGGGGGGAAUAACAGCCGUGUGGAUAACAUACAGCAAGUAAUUCCAAUGACUCCUAGUGUGCUAUGUAGCAGUUGACUGGAACCUUUGUUAUUCUGAUUAAAAGCCGUAGAUUAAUGCAGCUUUCUCACAAAUUUGUAAGCUCUUGCAUACACCCAAGUCCAGUUCCAAAUGACUACUUGGGCCCAUUGAGUACUUACAGUGGAGUCAAAUUAAGCAGGACUACCAGAGAAGUUAACUAUGACCCAUUUCCUUUCUUCUCAUUUCAAUACUAUUUGGUACUAUCAGAGUUGACAGAGUUUUGUACUCUGAUCUCGAGCUAAAUCAUAAAGCUAUCAUACUUUAGAAAAUCUUUUUCCUCUUAAAAAAAAAAAAAAAUGUUCACAGCUGAAAGCAACCUUAGUAGCCCUGUUGCCAUUGGUGAGAAGAUAGAGAUAUAUUUUUUACUUUUAAUUAAGUAGAUAUAUUCAGCAAAGCAACUUAACAAUUAAAAUUAAAUGAGAUGUUUUAGAAUAAUACCUAUAAAGGAGAGCAUAGAUUUGUCAGAGCAAUAAGUUAGGUAUUCCACACUUGGUGCUUCCUGUUUCUUCAUUCCAUAGUUGCAACAGUAUGACUUUGAACUAACAUUCACUAUAUUUUAUGUUAGUCUCUCUCUAAGUAACAAACAUUAUGCCCGUUCCCUGGCUGGAGGUAGUAACUGGCCCUCUGUUAUAACUGAGAGAUUUUUGUCUGUACAAGUCCACUGUAAUCAAAAAGUCAAUGGGAACGUUAUCUUUUAUCUUACUGGGAACAGUAUUGUCCUUACAUUUCCAGUUCUGUACCUUUGGUUUGUUUGCCUUUGUUUGUUUGCAUUGCCUUUUAUAGCUGUUUUGAAGUUUUUUUUCUAGAGGUAUAUUCAGCUCUUCAGCAUUACAAGGAACAUUUCCCAGAAUGUUUACUGAUUAUUGAACUACAGUACUAUGAUUACAAAACCAUUUUCAUAUAACUUCACAUCACCUGAAAAGAUUAAUGUGAGUGUAUAAAAUGUCUCUACUGCCUACACUUCUAUAUAUCUGUACAUUCUCCUUCACUCGUGACCUCUUUCUUCAAAUACCUCAAUAUCCUAGACUUAAUACUAAGAGUCUAGUCAUAAAAUGUGAAAGAGUUUUCCUCUGGAGCUAUUCUGAGAUUUUUCUAAUUAAGUUAAAAAAUGACUGAUGCUGUAAAGGUCACAUAUUCCAUCUACUCUUCUCUAACAGCGCAAUGUCAGGGAAUCUGUUUAUGAUAUUUAAGAAGAAGAUGUGGGGACUUGUUUUUUAAGUUUUCAUGAUGAUGAUGUAACAAGAUCUCAGUGCAUGAAAGGAACAACAAUUAAAAGAAAUAAAGCAGAACCAAACAAACUUCUUAAAAAAUACUUUAUCUUGUAAGACAUCUAUGGUAUUGAUAAUUUUAGGUUAACUUUUUAAGCAAGUAUAGCUUAUAAGUACAGGUACACAUCUUUGAUGUCAGUCUCUUAGGGCACGUGCAAGUUGCAGUAUUGUUUCAAAUCUCCAGUUACUUUGCAAGGAAACCUUCAUGUAACUUAAGCUUCACAAAAUGAUCAAAGCACAAUAACAAAGAAUAAACUUGUUGGAUCAGUACGUAACUUUAAGGUAUUUAAAUACUGAGAAGUAUUUAUGCAGCUGUUGCUUAAGCAUAAUUUUUGGGUAUGCAAUGCUCUUCUUUACCUCCCUGCUUUGCUUUUCUUAUGGUAAUAUCUUUCUGUCAUAUUUACAUUUCUAUCUUCAUAUCCAGUUGUUCCCAUUUGACCUGGCUUUACUUCUGUUCCAGGAAACACAAAACAUCAGAUAGUUGUAGCCAGUGACAUCCACUGGAUUUUUCUCUAAGAUGAUGUUGUCCAGGGUUUUUUGCUAUUAACAUUACCUUCUGAACUAAAUUUUAAAUCCCUUCUCACAGGGAUAUACAUAGAAAGUGUUCAGGAAAAUAUUUAUGGAGGACAGGUGCUAGCUCCCAUCACAUCUCCUUCUCUGUGUGUUUAAUAAGAUCUAGCCACUAGGUCAUACUCUCAUUACUGAAAGCCAAGUGCGGUUUCCUUCGCACAUAAAAGGUCUGCUAUCAAAGCAGUCUCGCUGGGAAGAUGAGACUUUUUUCCCUAAGAUUUGCAUAAAAUUCUUUCAGGGCCUGACAGUAGGAAAAGCAAGGGAGUUAAUGCAGCACAGUCUGUUCAUACCACCCCCUUACACUGUCAGUUUGACCCUGUUGACUUCCUGGAAGUAGUUAAAUGUGGCUUAUAGAGAUUAUAGUCAAUACUUGACAGGUUGACACAACAUCUAGAAGUAUAAUAAAGCAGAUAGAAACAACAUUCUUUUUCCAUAUGUAUAGAUAGAUGGUUAAGAUGAAGUUCCACAGUAUUUUUAGGAAGGCAUUCUGUCAAAAACUGCAAGAGGAUGGAUUGUUACCCACAGGAGAGGUUCAUCUUGUUAGUGCACUUUCAUAUCACUAAGUACAAGGUGUCAUGCAACGUAUUUAAAAAAUAAACAUUAAAACAAUAAAAAUGGAAAUUAGAUUUGAAAAAAGUCUCUGUUGGAGUAAGUGCUAAAACACAGUAACUACUCAGAAGACUGCAAGAGAAUUGUGCCAGGCUGUGGAAGGAUGGAAAGGAUAUUGUGAGAAAAAGCCUUAACUGAUUGCACGUGUAGUAUAGUACAGCAGAAAAACACCAAGACUGUUUCAGAGACCACUCCCAGUAUCCUGUUGGUUGUUGGGAGCAGAAUAUUAAGGAAGGUAAAUAUGCCUGUAUCUUGCCUAGAUCCACAAAAAGUUGCAAGUAAUGUCAGAAAACUUAAGUCUUAAACUGGAGAAAAAAAAUAAAACCCGCCUGUUUCCAAAUUUGACUAUCACAGUGCUGUGGUUGCUACUUCAUAUACCAGUCAAAGCAUUUGUUGCUGUACUAAAGCACAUCCAGAACAAUUUCUUUACUCUUCAGUGCAAGAACACAUUUUUCAGUUUGUGAGGGGAGGACUGACAUUGAGAAUUACAUUGUACUACCACUCCACCAUGAAGGAAAUGGGUUUCUUCAUCACUUUGUAAAAUUUCUUCAGUGAGAACCUCACUGAAAUCUGCACAUAAUUCUCCACCAGCAAUUGUGCAGGUAACUGCUCUUCUUAUUAAACAUUAAUUUCAUCUUAUCCCUUUAAUCACUGCAUAUUUUUCAAUUUCUUGUGAAAUUAUUUUGAUGUUCUUCAACAUGUGUUGGCAGAAGCUGUUAUCCAUUCACUCAUCAAUAGAAUUUGACAGAGUAAUCUCUGGAACUGAACACAUCAUGACAUGUUGGAAGCAGUUCUUCAACUUAACACAGUGAUUGAAUUUAAUAUUAAUAACAUUUGCAUUCUGGCUAUGCAAGGAAAUAUAAUGACACAGAUUAUUAAACUCCAGGCUGGAGGGAGGAAACUAAUUGGCUGUAGAGGUCACGAAGGAAAUUCCCUUUACUACAGUCUGUCAUCUCACAAUAGGUUGUUGUAUUACCCAAGAGUUCACUUCCAUCUAGCAUAUUAACAUCAACCUCUCAAGGGAGGUUACAAGCUAAAAUGAUCUUAUGUUCUGUUCUUUUAUAGUAAAUCUUAUUUUCAUAUGAAAAUUUAGAUCUCACCUAUUAGUUUUAAUAGCAGGCAAACUCAUAUUUGAUACCCUACAUGCUAUGAAUCUUUACCCCACUCAGUUACAAAAGAAAUAUCUCCUAUGAUCUACUCAUUUUUAUUGAGAAUACUGUUUAACAUCCUAGAUAUCCAAAAUCAGGUAACUGAUGAACUAUAAGAUCCCUUAUUAUCAGAGAAGUAUUAAAUGCUAUUGAAAUUAUUUGUCAUUGCUUUUUUUCAGUGUACACUUGUAUAUUAUGCCAUUCAUAGUGAUUAAUUUCAGAUGGCAAAAAGCAUAGUUAUAUAAAUACUAAUUAGAUUGAAAUGUGGAGCAGUUCAUUCUUUAUUCCAAAAGAAAAUAUUAAGUACAACUAUCUGUUUUCUUGUGCUAACAGUAUGUAGAAUCCUCAUAGGAAAAUGAACCGAUGCAAAGAUGUGCCUUUAUAAAGGAUCAUGAAGAAAUAUCCAUCAUUUUAUGUAUUUUAAACACAAUCACUCUCCAAAAUAGUUGAUAUUUCUUUCCAAAAAUAAUUUCUAGUCAGUCUCACCGAAUCUGACUUCUUUCCUACCAUUAUCAUAUUUUCCGGGAGACUGUACAAUCAAUGAACAUACAGAUGAUAUAGUAUAUCCAAGAGCUUGGCUUAUGUAGUUAUUAUACUAGAGCAGAAAAGGACACUCACCCAUAUCCUGGGCUCACGUGGUAAAAUCCAGUGGAGUGGAUCUCCAGAAGUGAUCCUUCCCCACUGGUAGCCAGCUCUUAAAUGGGAUCCAGGAGAGGUGGAGCCAGGCUCCACCCCUUCUGGCAGCACAGGUGAAUUGCCUUCACCUGUGCUCCUGUGGCUGACUCAUUGCUCACCUCAGGUGAUCAAUCAAAGGUUCAGGCCUUGAUUCAGCAGUCCCCGUACAAUCCACCCUUUCACAGCAUGAACCAAUGAUCAGGCUGACUAAAGAGUAAGCUUCUUCAAAUACAGAGAUCCGAUAUACCGUGACACUUAUACAAUUUCAUCACAACGCAUGUUGGUAAGAUUCAAGAUGAAUGACUAUCGGUGAACAUUGAUAUUCUUUUAUGGG